RNAcentral lists this transfer RNA (73 nucleotides) under Candidatus Cloacimonadota bacterium. RNAcentral describes it as "tRNA-Glu". It matches the Rfam family "tRNA". From Rfam's summary of the family: Transfer RNA (tRNA) molecules are approximately 80 nucleotides in length. The record is from RNAcentral. Lineage: Bacteria; Pseudomonadati; Candidatus Cloacimonadota. RNAcentral also lists the same sequence under 2 other names.
GGCGCGUUCGUCUAGUGGCCUAGGACGCUGGCCUCUCACGCCGGUAACACGGGUUCGAGUCCCGUACGCGCUA